Long non-coding RNA from Papaver somniferum (opium poppy), 170 nucleotides. RefSeq lists it as uncharacterized. Lineage: Eukaryota; Viridiplantae; Streptophyta; Magnoliopsida; Ranunculales; Papaveraceae. The record is from RefSeq and is a predicted model, not a curated record. The transcript has 3 exons.
UAUCAUGACAUUAGAAUUUAGGUUGUAAAAGGUGGAAGGGGAAGAUUGGAUCCUCAUUGCAACGCUGUAUGAUUUGUUGAUAGGAGAUCGUUCAUUGCUCAGUGGAGUCUUCUUGAUCGUAACUUCUAGUCAACGCGACGAAGGAACACAAGCUUGUAAGAUCACCAAAG